RNAcentral lists this long non-coding RNA (966 nucleotides) under Sus scrofa (pig). RNAcentral's name for it is "lncRNA (ENSSSCG00070017726.1)". The record is from RNAcentral. Lineage: Eukaryota; Metazoa; Chordata; Mammalia; Artiodactyla; Suidae.
AUGACUUGCUUAUACCCUGUCUUCUCCAUUAGACUGAGGACUCCUUGGGGCCAAAGACUGUGGCUUAUGUACUGGUCCAAUGUUCAGCUCUGUGUGCAGCAGGUGCUCAGACAGUGCUGGAGGGCCUGUCUUUUGAAUCUGUCUGCUGUUCUUUCCUUUGCUCUUCAUUUCAACAUGUCUUUUCCUCUUACUCUUUGUGAUUUUCACUUGAUCCUUUUGAGUUUUGAUUCCAAAGUUCUUAAGAGACAGAGAUCCUAUUGGCUGGUGCAAGACCAUAGCAGUUGUGUGUGUGUGUGUGUGUGUGAGAGAGAGAGAGAGAGAGAGAGAGAGAGGGAGAGGGAGAGGGAGAGGGAGAGGGAGAGGGAGAGGGAGAGGGAGAGGGAGAGGGAGAGCGCUGAGUCACUGUCUCCCAUUUCUGGCUUUGCUUCUCACAUCCACAACCCAUGUGCUCUACUUCCAUUUUUUCCUCUCAUUCCUGUUCCAAGCACAUCUGAAGGGCCCUCCAGACUAAGACUCCACCAUGAGCACCUUUCACCUUGCACUUCCCCGACCCUGCUUCCCUUGUCCAGGACUACCAACAGGAUGCUGGACCAGGCUGAGCUGGACAGCCAUAGCCAGGUAGCCAGUUGAAUCCCUCUCCAGUGAUAACAAAGGUCUGGAGUCUCAGAGGGCUUUUCCUAGGACAAGACGUACCUCCAGAUCAAGAAAUUAUUUCAGCUGUGGCAUGAUCAACAAGUUCUGGAGCGGAAGGAAACCUUUCUAAACCACAAAUAACAAAAAACAUCUAUCUAUUAUGUCAGAAGACAAAGUUGUCUUUCUAUUCUCUGUACAUAAAAUGGCAUUGUAAAAUUUUUACCAUGUGAAAAAAGAUCAAUGAGUAUAACGCCAAAAAUAUAGGGAAAAGAUGUAUUACAUAGAUGGGUCAGCACUUAAGUUGUAAUUGUAGCAAAAAUUGUUAAUUAAAAC